This is a long non-coding RNA of Oncorhynchus tshawytscha (Chinook salmon), 893 nucleotides long. Lineage: Eukaryota; Metazoa; Chordata; Actinopteri; Salmoniformes; Salmonidae. The record is from Ensembl.
GUCCGGGGCUUUUUUUAUCAAAAACAUUCUCUUCUCCACUGAAUGUAAUAAGAGAGAUCUACAACAAGUUUAGCUAAAAGUCUGGAGUCUGACUUCAUGUACCUUAAACUGGGGCUCCCGAGCGGUCUAAGGCAUUGGAUCUGUGCUUGAGGCGUAAACAAGAAUUUGUUCUUAACUCACUUGCCUAGUUAAAUAAAGGUAAAAAAAUAAAUAAACUGAGCCUCCUGACUGGAUCGGUUGGGAUUAAUGUAAACAGACCGGACAUUACUCGUCUUCUAAAACAAGAAUGCACUCUGUAAUGUGAUACUUGCAUGGCAGUUAUACCCAUAUGAAUAUGAUAUAGUUUUUAUUGACAUUUAUUUUUCCACCAGAUGAGACUAAUGAAUGAUUUUCAGAAGGAAGUGACAAUCUUUUGGAUUCGCCACCCACAAAAGUACAUGGAGGAGAUAAUAGAGUACUUUCUCCCUCCUGUCCUUACACCCUGAACACGGAUUAGAGACACGAGGGUCAGAGAAAGCCUUGCACCUCAUUGCCUUACUGGAUAUCAAAGCCACCUGGUUUAAUAGGUGGAUGGUGUGCACAAUAUAAACCUAGCUUCUAUUAACACUACAAGAAACCAACCCCCCCGCCCAUAAGUAGGCUAACUAAUUGUCAGUGCUGAGUGAAGAUGAUGUCAGUCCUGUCUCCUACAGCAGGACCGUGGUCUACAGGCGUCUGGAGAUGAAGUACAAGUCUCUGAUUGUAGCAGCUCUUCAGCAGUGUAUCUAUUGAGUCCUGUGACCCAUUCAUAGACGAGACGGGUGAGGUCAUCCACUCUAUCGAGAACCAGCACAUCAGUGAGUUCAACUUUAAUCUACACAGGACGAAAGAUAUAUACAAAAUAAUUGAUGUAC